Molecule: ribosomal RNA, 466 nt
Filed under: uncultured bacterium
Lineage: Bacteria
Description: partial 16S ribosomal RNA
Rfam family: Bacterial small subunit ribosomal RNA
Source: RNAcentral
GACGAACGCUGGCGGUGUGCUUAACACAUGCAAGUCGAACGGUAAGGCCCUUUCGGGGGUACACGAGUGGCGCACGGGUGAGUAACACGUGAGUAACCUGCCCUCAUCUCUGGGAUAACAGUCGGAAACGGUUGCUAAUACUGGAUAUGAGCUUGCAAGGCAUCUUGUGGGUUGGAAAGCUUUUUUUGGUUGGGGAUGGACUCGCGGCCUAUCAGCUUGUUGGUGAGGUAGUGGCUCACCAAGGCUUCGACGGGUAGCCGGCCUGAGAGGGCGACCGGCCACAUUGGGACUGAGAUACGGCCCAAACUCCUACGUGAGGCAGCAGUGGGGAAUAUUGCACAAUGGACGGAAGACUGAUGCAGCAACGCCGCGUGCGGGAGGACGGCCUUCGGGUUGGAAACCGCUUUCAAUUGUGACGAAGCUUUUUGUGACGGUAGCAGUAGAAGAAGCACCAGCUAACUACGUG